Molecule: long non-coding RNA, 343 nt
Filed under: Aquilegia coerulea
Lineage: Eukaryota; Viridiplantae; Streptophyta; Magnoliopsida; Ranunculales; Ranunculaceae
Description: long non-coding RNA (ACOE_LNC000054)
Source: RNAcentral
UGCAAAGUUACUUGACUCUGCUGCCAUCUUUUCACUCUGUGUUUUAGAAAUCACUCAAAAAGACUGCAGCUUUUCCUUUUGGCUCGGAUACCAGAUUGUUGAGAAUGAGAACAAGAAAAGAACUCAAACAAACAAAACUAGAUUGAAAUGACUUGAUAUUAUUGAAUAAAAGUGGCUGUUAUAUAGCCUUACAAAUAAACCAAAUAGCUAGAAAAUAGCUCAACUAACAGAAACGUGGUAAAAGAAAAAAUCAAAGCAGAAACACCAAAAAAAGUGUCAACUGUGAACAACUCUUCCUAGAUACUAGGAACCUUAUUCAAUCUAAAAACUAAAACCCUUUCAG